RNAcentral lists this ribosomal RNA (460 nucleotides) under uncultured bacterium. RNAcentral describes it as "partial 16S ribosomal RNA". It matches the Rfam family "Bacterial small subunit ribosomal RNA", at positions 338 to 795 of the family's 1533-position model. The record is from RNAcentral.
CCUACGGGGGGCAGCAGUGAGGAAUAUUGGUCAAUGGACGAAAGUCUGAACCAGCCAAGCAGCGUGAAGGAUGACUGCUCUAUGGGUUUUAAACUUCGUUUAUAUGGGAGAAAAACAGGGUAUGCAUACCCUCUUGUAUGUACCAUAUGAAUAAGGAUCGGCUAACUACGUGCCAGCAGCGCCGGUAAUACGGAGUAUACGAGCGUUAUCCGGAUUGAUUGGGUUUAAAGGGAGCGUAGGUGGAUGGUUAAGUCCGUUGUGAAAGCUUGCGGCUCAACCGUAAAAUUGCAGUUGAAACUGGCAGUCUUGAGUACAGUAGAGGUGAGCGGAAUUCGUGGUGUAGCGGUGAAAUGCUUAGAUAUCACGAAGAACUCCGAGUGCGAAGGCAGCUCACUGGACUGUAACUGACACUGAUGCUCGAAAGUGUGGGUAUCAAACAGGAUUAGAUACCCGAGUAGUC